GGGGCCAGAAUAGAAGUCUGUGGAAGGUGUGGGAUGGGAUGACAGCAUCAGAAAGAAUUGGGCAAAUCUGUCCCAGGACUAGGUCAGAAAAACGCCUCCCUAGGGAAGGUGCCACCCCAAACACGUGUUUCUGAGACCCCUUACCCGAAAUAAGGAGGCUGCCAAGCGAUACUUGAGGUUGGACCAGAUGAUGUUUUCUUGAGAGAAGCAGAAAACGCCAAGUCGGCCUCCACGCAUUGUGGUGUCUAUGGUGACGCCAGAGUCAGCCACCAACUCAGAGCCUUCAUAAAAUCGUACCCUGCGGACAACACGGCCGGAGGGGCCUCCAUGAAAUCCAACCCGGGGUUCCCCAUCCUGCGGUCACAAAAGUCCUGGCAUGUCCUUGGGGACUAUCCUAGGUCAGAAUUGCUCAGGGAAAUGAAGGCUCUGGGAUGCAGAACGGAGAAUGCUUUGCUUCUAGAGCAAGGAAAAAUACUUGUAUUGAGCAUCAUGAAGUUCGUGUUACUAACCUCACAGGCAAUCGACAGCCUGGGAGAUAGUCCCUAGGGCUUCAGAUCUUGUGUGGUGUUCAUCCCACCAUCUUCAGGCCCACAGUGUGUCAUUUUUCCACCUCUGCUUUGUUAGGUGCUGGAGAGAUCAGGCGCAUGGUGAGUCACUUCUGCCUGGGCCAGUGUCACACAGAGACUACCCUUUUCUGCAGUUAUCCAGAGGUAGCUUCAAAGGACGGAUUCUGGGAGACUUAAAAAUGAACAGCUCUCAGAGUUUUGUGUUUGAUGAUGUCACAUUGGUAGCUUGAAAUCAGCAAUGAGGACAAUGCGGAGUUACAUCAUGGAAACUGGAAAAUGCUACCAACUAGGGCUUUCUGUGAUUUGCUUACCAGCAUAUACCACUGGAAAUGGGUCAUCAGUUAGGCUUGCAGAAGCCUCCCCUCCCCAGACCAGCUCCGUGGCUGGAGAAUGCACAGGAAGCGUGACCAUUCAUGGAGCUGUCCCUGAUUGGAGUGGAGGUAGACAUACAGCAUGGCGCCGUCUGGCCCUGCCAGUCACCUGCCAAAGACGGAAGGUUUCUCCCGGAGGGACUAUGACAGUCCCCACCUCUACACGAUGGCCCACCCCCAACAGGAGCGUCAAGGCAGACAGACUCUGGAAGUUGUAAGGAUGAGGACAGUUAGAGAUGACAGCAGGUACUCAUUGCUGGCAGGAAUCAGGCAUCAGAUCCAUGCCUUCUUCUUUGCUUACAUGUAAGAUCAUGUGAAUGUUGAUGAAAACACCAUCAGACUGGAGGCUGCGUCCGGCCACUCAGACAAAGAAGGAAUAGAAGUGAAGGAAGAAGGCUGGACUGUGAACCAAUGACACUGAGUUGCCCGCGCCACCGUGGAGGGCAUAGGGGACAGGUCAAAAGUUCCAGUGAAGUCCUGGGAGGUGGUGUGAGAAGUUUACUCUGGGGACAGGGAGAUGAUCUGCUUAAAAAGCAAGUUAAUUUUUCUUAUUGCUGUUCCUUUGGCUCUUUUACAAUGGAAUGACAAAGGAAUGGGUGCACAGAGAAAUGCUGGUGGCCUGCAUUGAGAAUUUCUGAUGAGGUAGGCUGAGAAACUGACAAAUGAGCUGUCAGCUCCGCUGCAAUGACACUUCAGGGGCCAGGUUUUUUUAGCUUUUAUAUAUAUAAUAUAUAUUAUCACACUGCACACUAUAUAUGUAAUAAAUAUUAUACAAUAUGUUUAAAAAAUGAAAAUUAAAAUUUUCAUCUUUAUUGAGGUAUAAUUGACAAAACUGAAUAUAUUUAAAGUGUGCAGUGUGAUGAUGUGAUAUACGUAUACAUUGUGAAAUGAUUACCACAGUCAGUUAAGUAACACAUCCAUCAACUGACAUAGUUACCUUCCUUUUUUUCUUUUUCAGUGAGAACACUUAAGAUCUGCUCUCUUAGCAGAUUUCAUAUAUAUAAUAUAGUAUUAUUAACUACAGUCACCAUGCUGUACAUUAGAUCUUUUUCAUCUUAUGCAGUUUUAUUGGCAUAACAUUUACAGGUCGUAAAAGACAUCCAUUUGAAGUAUAUAUAUUGUUUAAUGAUUUAAGUCACUCACAACCUCUUAGUUGCCAAAUCCAAUGCAUGCUUUCCAAUGACUUGUCUCGAUCUUUCAGCCUCCCUGGCUGUGCUAUCAGUUCGCUCCUUUUUCUGGCUUCUGCUCUUUUUCCUUGGCCUAGUCCUUCGUUUUUGGGGUUUCCUGGAGUUCUAUUUACUGUCUACUUUCCUUCUCUCUAGGUGGCUCAGUUAUUACCUUUACACCAAGAUCUCGCAAAUCUAUUUGCAGACUACUUUGUCCUGGUAAAAGCUGAGAAGCAAUAAAUCCCCAUCUAUUCCUAAGCAAUAUAGCAUUGCGGAGAAGAACUCAGGCUCUGUAGCCAACCUGGAAGAUGUGUGACCUUAGUCUAAAUACGUAACAUUUCUUUUUUUUCUUUUUGGAGACAGGGUCUCCCUCUGUCACCCAGGUUAGAGUGCAGUGGCGAUCACAGCUCACUGUAGCCUCAAACUACUCUUGUACCCAAAUGAUCCUUCGGCCUCAGCCUCCUGAGGAGCUGGGACUAUAGGCAUGCUCCACCAUGCCUGGACUUAAUGAUGUAAUAUUUCUGUCCCUCAGUUUCUUCAAUUGUAAAAUGGGGAUAAUAAUAAUCCCUGUUUAUGAGGUUGUUGUGAGGAUUAAAAUAAGUGACUUGAUAAA
RNAcentral lists this long non-coding RNA (2716 nucleotides) under Homo sapiens (human). RNAcentral describes it as "THBS4 antisense RNA 1 (THBS4-AS1)". The record is from RNAcentral. Lineage: Eukaryota; Metazoa; Chordata; Mammalia; Primates; Hominidae.